Molecule: ribosomal RNA, 425 nt
Filed under: uncultured bacterium
Lineage: Bacteria
Description: bacterial SSU rRNA
Rfam family: Bacterial small subunit ribosomal RNA
Source: RNAcentral
GUGAGGAAUAUUGGUCAAUGGGCGGAAGCCUGAACCAGCCAAGUCGCGUGAGGGAAGACGGCCCUACGGGUUGUAAACCUCUUUUGCCGGGGAGCAAUGCCCAGCUCGCGAGCUGGGAAGGAGAGUACCCGGAGAAAAAGCAUCGGCUAACUCCGUGCCAGCAGCCGCGGUAAUACGGAGGAUGCGAGCGUUAUCCGGAUUUAUUGGGUUUAAAGGGUGCGUAGGCGGUCUGUUAAGUCAGCGGUCAAAUGUCGGCGCUCAACGCCGGCCUGCCGUUGAAACUGGCGGACUUGAGUGGGCGAGAAGUAUGCGGAAUGCGUGGUGUAGCGGUGAAAUGCAUAGAUAUCACGCAGAACCCCGAUUGCGAAGGCAGCAUACCGGCGCCCAACUGACGCUGAGGCACGAAAGCGUGGGUAUCGAACAGG